RNAcentral lists this non-coding RNA (184 nucleotides) under Lachnospiraceae bacterium. RNAcentral describes it as "6S RNA". It matches the Rfam family "6S / SsrS RNA". Rfam says of the family: E. coli 6S RNA was the first non coding RNA to be sequenced, but its function was unknown until recently. It consists of 184 nucleotides that fold into an extended hairpin structure with a large single-stranded internal bulge. The record is from RNAcentral. Lineage: Bacteria; Bacillati; Bacillota; Clostridia; Lachnospirales; Lachnospiraceae. RNAcentral also lists the same sequence under 2 other names.
GAAAACCUGGGAUGUUCGAUACCUCUUGUAAUUUUGAACCUACAAUACUUUAAACGGGAGACUUAUUAUCUCUGUAAUAUGUCAUGCCUCCAGGGUAUGCGUGGAAGACAGAAAAGCAGAUGCGGUCACCCACCUAGCAGAAUGCUAGGAGUCAAAAUACAGGAGCCGGCAUUUUGGGCAUCAU